CAAAUAUCAGGAUAACAGAUACUCUAAKUGAGGCUAGGCAAAGAUGGAUCUGGUUUGCAUGUUAUCUAUUUUUAAAAAGUGUGAUGGCAAAGACACCAGGCUUCAGAAGAUCUGAGAAAAUCAUAUACAAUAAUUAUACCUUCAGAUAC
This 149-nucleotide long non-coding RNA is filed under the name Urocitellus parryii (Arctic ground squirrel). Its description in RNAcentral is "lncRNA (ENSUPAG00010022203.1)". The record is from RNAcentral. Lineage: Eukaryota; Metazoa; Chordata; Mammalia; Rodentia; Sciuridae.